AGCCGCCCCCACCCUCCAGGAGCUCUAUCGCAAAUCCCCAGGCCGCGCCGACUGCCAGCUGACAGAAAUGUUUAGUCAGCAACCAGUGAGAGAGGAGCGGCCGCCCCCCUCCAUCCUUCCCGGCUCCUUCCCGUGGUACCUUCCCCGCCGCCAGCAGCGCCAGGGAAAGAAACACCCUUUUGCUCCCCAACCCCUCCCCAAAACGUUUCUGGAAUCACAGCAGAGAUGUCCAUGAACUGACAUUAACCAUGAAGGGGAUGCUCAUUCUCACCUUCAAGUAGGCUGAAAGCCAGAGGGCAGGUUUUCCUGAUCUAACACCCAAGAGCAGAGAGACACCUGCAAAGCAUAUGCCAUGCUAGAGGCUCCAUUCCUUGCUCCUCACAUGAACUUUAUAUUUAAUUUAAAUUUAAGCUACUAAAUGCACAGAGCAGCAGCAGAGCAAUACAAGAGGAGCUCUGAAUUCAGCAAUCAGACCUAUAAGCAAAACUUGAUAGUUUAUAAGAACAGGCCCUGCUUCCUUUCUCCAAACACAUAUGCUUGCUACUUUCAAAUGCUAUAUAAUUCACAAAGCCUACAGAGCUCAGUAUUAAGUGCUGAACAGCUUAUUUAGAAUGGUUUUACACACAGCAACCUUUGAAGUCUAUCAUCAUAAAUCAGCAGUACCUGAUGAACAGGGCUUGUUUCUCCUAAGACCACUACAUUUCAUCAAUCGUGAGAGGCUUAAUACAGGGAGCAAGUAACCUAGAUAAAACUGAGUUCUCACUGUGAAAGGCUGUCCUUACCAGAAGGUUUCAAAUAACUAGAGUCACUCUUGCAACCAAGUUCCCAGUUCAGGCGAGUUGGAAUAAAGUUUUCAACAGCUAAACACAAA
This is a long non-coding RNA of Cyanistes caeruleus (blue tit), 871 nucleotides long. RefSeq lists it as uncharacterized. NCBI's taxonomy places the organism in Eukaryota, Metazoa, Chordata, Aves, Passeriformes, Paridae. The record is from RefSeq and is a predicted model, not a curated record.